RNAcentral lists this ribosomal RNA (811 nucleotides) under uncultured bacterium. Its description in RNAcentral is "bacterial SSU rRNA". It matches the Rfam family "Bacterial small subunit ribosomal RNA", at positions 613 to 1425 of the family's 1533-position model. The record is from RNAcentral.
CCUGGGAACUGCGUUNUGAACUGGGUGACUAGAGUGUGUCGGAGGGAGGUAGAAUUCCACGUGUAGCAGUGAAAUGCGUAGAGAUGUGGAGGAAUACCGAUGGCGAAGGCAGCCUCCUGGGAUAACACUGACGUUCAUGCCCGAAAGCGUGGGUAGCAAACAGGAUUAGAUACCCUGGUAGUCCACGCCCUAAACGAUGUCGAUUAGCUGUUGGGCAGCAUGACUGCUUAGUAGCGAAGCUAACGCGUGAAAUCGACCGCCUGGGGAGUACGGUCGCAAGAUUAAAACUCAAAGGAAUUGACGGGGACCCGCACAAGCGGUGGAUGAUGUGGAUUAAUUCGAUGCAACGCGAAGAACCUUACCUGGUCUUGACAUGUACGGAACCCUCCAGAGACGGAGGGGUGCCUUCGGGAGCCGUAACACAGGUGCUGCAUGGCUGUCGUCAGCUCGUGUCGUGAGAUGUUGGGUUAAGUCCCGCAACGAGCGCAACCCUUGUCAUUAGUUGCCAUCAUUAAGUUGGGCACUCUAAUGAGACUGCCGGUGACAAGCCGGAGGAAGGUGGGGAUGACGUCAAGUCCUCAUGGCCCUUAUGACCAGGGCUUCACACGUCAUACAAUGGUCGGUACAGAGGGUAGCCAAGCCGCGAGGUGGAGCCAAUCUCACAAAACCGAUCGUAGUCCGGAUCGCACUCUGCAACUCGAGUGCAUGAAGUCGGAAUCGCUAGUAAUCGCAGGUCAGCAUACUGCGGUGAAUACGUUCCCGGGUCUUGUACACACCGCCCGUCACACCAUGGGAGUGGGGGAUACCAGAA